RNAcentral lists this small RNA (287 nucleotides) under Gloeocapsa sp. PCC 73106. RNAcentral describes it as "5' ureB small RNA". It matches the Rfam family "5' ureB small RNA". Lineage: Bacteria; Bacillati; Cyanobacteriota; Cyanophyceae; Chroococcidiopsidales; Chroococcidiopsidaceae. The record is from Rfam by way of RNAcentral.
CCGUUUCAAUCUGUUGAGGACAGAUAAAGUGUAUGUGACUAUCGAUUCCUCCUGGGGUGAGGAUCAUUCCUUCUCCUGCUAUUACUUCAGUGGCGGGUCCAAUGAUAAUAUUUACUCUGUCUUGGAUGUAGGGGUUACCCGCUUUACCAAUUUGUAAGAUUUUCCCGUCUUUGAUACCAAUAUCAGCUUUAACUACUCCCCACCAGUCGAGAAUUAGGGCGUUGGUAAUUACUAAAUCUACUGCUCCUUCAGCGCGAGAUAAGGGGGAUUGUCCCAUACCAUCUCUA